ACGUACUCUGCAUAUGUGCAUGCCAACAACUAUAAAAGGAGACCAUGAGGCAAUGAGUUGAUCAUCAAAGCAAACACACAGAAAUCCCAACUAAAAAUCAAUCAGUGAGACAAUGGCUGGAACCAAUGAUAUUAAAAUUAAAGGGUUUGAUUUGAGCAACAACAAAGGCAACACGUCGGGAUUAACCCACUUCGCCAACAGAGCUGCCGAGGGCGACAAGGGCGACAAUAAAAUCGAGGUUGAGGAUGCUAAAGGGCAAGGGAACACGGGAAACUUGAAAGUACUGACCGACUUCGCCCAACGCGGUAAAGUGGGCCAGUCGGAUCGCCAAGAACUACUCAAACCUCAGGCAUGAAAUUGAAGAAGGCCAGACCACAACAACUUGUCUGCUUGAUAGAUAUAUGUGCUAAAUUAUCUACACAAAAAUAAGAGCUGAUGUUUUAUCUGAGGCUCCUUCCUUGGUUAGGCCUCGUUAUCAUGUGUAAUAUUAAUAUUAUUAUUCUAAUAAAAUAAUGGUAGCUUAUUAUUAAAUAUAUCAGAAUUCUAUACGUAUAACUUUUAGAUUAUUGAUACUGAUGUCAACAAGAGAAAAUGAUUAAAAAUUCCUUUCUCCAAUUCGUGAUGUUAGACAAGAAGCAAACAAAUUUAGGAUAAUGGAUUUUAAAAGUUUGGUGACAAAUGAUGGUAAAGAAGAAUUUAGCCACUACUACAAAAAGUGAAAAAGACGACCAGAAAACAACGACGGUCUAAGUGAAAACCGUCGUGGUUUAUAAAAAGACGACGGUUCUAAAAACACCGUCGUGUAAUACAACCUUAGACAACUAAAAAAUGGAGUUUCAAAUGGCUGUUCAAAAACAACGACGUACAUAAUUAAACAACCGACGUCUAUUUGAAACAGAUUUCCUCAGUGUAAAAUCAAUGCCAACAAAGAACGGCAGAAGUUAUGAAUCGACCGACGUAGAAAGUAAAGACGACGAUUUCAAUAAAAACUGCCGUUUUUACUCAUAAAAUAACACGACGAGGUUUUCGUAUAAGACGCCGUAUAAUUACAAACAAAUCCACGGCUUUAAAAUACAAAAUAUCGCCGUAUUAAAUUAAUUUACAACGACGGAAAAUAUAAAUAUAUCGACGUCAUUCUCGUAUAGUUCUACUACGUUAUCUUUAAAUCGUACAAUAAAAUUUAUCGUCGUAUUUAUUCAUUUUAUACGUCGUACCUUUAAUUUUAACGGUCGUCUUAAUAAGAAUUUUUGUUAACAAUUUUUUUCUUUGAUUUUCUUAUCCUACGUCGGUAGAUCUACUUAAUGACAAGAAUUGAAAUAACCACGACGGUUUAUAUAGAACACCGCCGACAUAAUCAGUUUUGUCUGAGAUCCCAAGGGUUACGAAAUCUUACCAGAUGGAACUCUGUUCCACAUCAUAAUCUUAACAGAUGACACAGAUUUGCAAAUAUUGCGUCGUGUUAGUUUACAAAUUCUAGAACAUUAAUUUCCCUCAUUUUAAAUUUCCUCGGGAAAGAAAAAUCUAUUUAUCACGCUUUGGAAUUGAAAACUAAAACUGAAAGAAUACGGGAAAAAAAACUCCAUUUAUAAUUUAAAAUUAAAAUCCACGUCGGUUGUAGUACACUUAACGACGUUUAACAAAAUAAUCUACGUCGGUAAUUAUAAAUCUACCGCCAUCGUAACUUAAUAUAGACGACGAGAAAAGACGACGGUAGAACAGAAAACCGCCGUUGUUUCAGUUUCUUUAACAUAUCUUUCUGCAGGACUUGUGUAGUUCAAAGCAUUGACAAUGUCUUCAUCAUAUCUCCCAGAAACUACUGAUUCAAUUGCUCAUGCUUUAGAGGCCAUCUGAAGCCAUUUCUAUUCUUUAUCGCAUUCUUGAAACCCAUCUUCUUCUUCUGAAGCUCUACGGAUAAAGGAAGAGGCUAUCACAAUAAAUCCGACGGAUCUUCUUAGGCAAGAAAAUCAAGCAGAGGAUCAGGCACAUCUGAUCUUCAGAUUUCCCUGAGAAGCGAACUUUCCUUCGACAGCGAGUGGAGGCCAGGCUUGCAUCUCUUUUGAUGGAAAGCAAGGAGUAUUCAGAAGCACUAAGUGUCCUAUCAGGCUUGAUCAAGGAAGUGAGAAGGCUAGUUGACAAGCUUCUUCUUGUGGACAUAUAUUUGAUGCGAGUAAGCUCAAUUUCUCUUUGAGAAAACAUCCAAAUUAUUAUCUUUGAGACAUGAGAGACUGAGAGAGGAAGAACUUGGAACCUUAAAUGUAAACCGAAAAUGAAUGAAAGCGACAAAUUUAUAGAAUAAAUUUUUAAAACCAACGGCGGUCCUUACAAACAAACCGCCGUUUAAAUUGUAAAAUCAACGUCGGUAUGAUCGACGUAUAUUACAGAAAUCCACGUCGGUAAAUUAAUAAAAACGACGUGUUAAAUAAUAUACCAUGACGCGAGUUAUUACUUAUGUACUUUAAUUUUUGAGUUUACUACGACGGUACCUACAAACUACUGUCGUAUUUAUUUACCACGUCCGAAGUUAAAUGUACCGUCGUAUUUUGUAAUUUAUACGUCGUAGUUAUAUGUAACCGCCAUAUUAUUUUUUUGAAAUGGUUUUAUAUGUAAGCAACUUUUCGUCUACUUGACUUACACAUUUGUUGUUUUUAUAUUCUUAUUUUAUUUAAAUCUGUCAUCCAAAAAAGAAACUUUACAUAUUGCAGAAUAUUAAUUUCCUUCGUUUUAAAUUUCCUCCGGAAAAAAAACUCUAUUUAUAACGCACUGUAAUUGAAAAAUAAACUGAAAGGUCACGGGAAAAAAAAUUCUAUUCAUAAUUUAAAAAUUAAAAUCCACGUCGGUUAUAUUAAACCUAACGACGUUAAAUGAAAUGAUUCCACGUCGAAUGAAAAAUAUUGCGUCGUUUUAGUUAAAAACGACGUAGUUAAAUGUAACCGCCGUAUUAUUUUUUUGAAAUGGUUUUAUAUGUAAGCAACUUUUCGACUUACACAUGCACUGUUUCCAAACCCGAUUAAAAAUUUCAAUCUCCCAGAGAAACCUUUUCGUCUUUUUUCCUUGUCAGAGCAUUGUCAGAGUUUUUCAUCGUCUUCCUCUCGUCUUCUUCGUCGUCUCUGAACUUAAACAUCGAUCAUCUUCCUCUUGCUUUCAUUGCACGCAAAAGGUAAGCUUUCAUUUUCACUAUUUUGGUUACUGUUUUGCAUGCUCAUACGUUUUUUGUUUGAAAAAUCUUUUUACCUUUUUUCUGGCCAAAAUCAUUUUACUUCUUUCCAAGUUUGAUAAAAUAUACAGACAAAGAGAGAAAGUUUCCAACUUUGAAGACAACUACAUCAACUAAAUAAGACGACGGUAGACCACGACGGUUCGUCAGUUGUUCUAGCGUCGUCUGAAAAUUGACAAAGUUGUUUUUAAAAUAAUAGUCUUUUUUUAUAUGCUUGUUUAAUUGCAGGUUUGAUUUCGCUGAACAAUGGUUUUUGUUUUUCCCUUAUUUGAUAAAAUAUAAAGAAAAAGAAACUAGGGUUGGUAUCUAAUAUAGACGAUAAAAUAUAAAUAAUAGUUUACCACGACGGUGUAUUACUAUUGACGUCGUGUGAACAUAUAUACCACGACGUUAUAUAAAUAAUGGUUUUAAACAUUUAUUACGUCUGAGAUUAUUUCAUUGCGUCGUCUAAAAUCAUAUCAUACGUCGUAUUUUUUUAAUACCGUCGUUUGUGUUCUUAAUGUUUUCCUGAAAUAUUUUCACUUGCAGUUUUGUCUGUUAAAAUGGUUUCUCAACAACAAACUAAGGAUUCUGGCUCCAAGAAGCUUGGAAUGGUAGCUCCUCAAGAUAAGUCUUCGAAGGAGAUGAAGUCUUCGAAGAAGAUGAAGUUUGCUUCAUCAUCUGCUGAGACAGAACAAACCAGCCAGACAACAAUCUCAGAUGAUUCAAAGACUGGUCGAGGUAUGAGCACAAUGCCUCGUGUUGUGAAGAGAAAGCUUCAGAAACUGAGGCCAAUUGUUGAGUACAAUAAAAGGGGGAAAGGUGUUGGCCAAGCACAUAUUGAGAUGCAGUCGUAUAUUGGUGUGUUGGCACGCUCCAGGAUCCCACUUGUGGACAAGAAAUGGUCCCAAAUCCCCAAGGAUAUAAAGGAGCAGAUUUGGGAAGCAGUUGACAUGGCUUUUGUCGUAGGCCAAGGGGGCAAGACCUCUGUUUUAGCUUCUGCUUCCAAGAAAUGGAAGGAUUUCAAGUCUACACUAACGAGGCAUUAUAUCCUUCCAUACACCAAUGACAGGGAGAAAUUAAGCCAACCCCCUGAAACAUAUAAAUUCAUAGAGAAAGCACAAUGGGAUGCCUUUGUAGCUUCAAGGCUAUCCAAAGAUUUUGAGUCUGUGCAUUCUCAACAUGCACAGAUUAGGGAGAAACUCGAGUACAAUCAUCGAUUGUCUCGAAAAGGAUAUGCUGGAUUGGAGGAUCAAUUGGAGGAAACCAUGCCUGGGGUAGAAAUUGAUCGAUCUACCUUAUGGAAGAGAGCUAGACAGGACAAACAUGGUAACAUCCCUGAUCCAAAGGUGGCAGAGAAAGCAAAAUUAAUUGUAAGCCUACUAUCACUCUGUUUUAAAUUUUUAUUAAACUGUGAAUUAUUCUUAUUACGUCGUAUGUUAUAUUUUUCGUCGUGUGAAUGAUAUUACCACGUCGAAAAGUUUUUAAAAACGUCGUUAAAGGUCUAAAUAGGAAUCACUACUAUGUUUUCUGUAAUUACAGCAUAAGACGUCGGUGGUUCAUUUUCGCGUCGUGUGAAUGAUAUUACCACGUCGAAAAUUUUUUAAAAACGUCGUUAACGGUCUAAAUAGGAAUCACUACUCUGUUAUCUUUAAUUAUAGCAUAAGACGUCGGUUGUUUAUUCAUUUCGUCGUUUUAAAUAAAUAACCACGUCGGUAUAACUACCGUCGUGAUAAGUUAUAAUAACGUCGGUUUAUACGUUAUUGCGUCGUGUGAAAUUAUAUAAUACGUCGUUUGUACAUAAAUAACCGUCGUGUGUUUUUUUGUUUAUCUUUUUUUAGGAUGAAUUGCAGAAACAAGUCUCGGAAGGCAAAGUCAGAGUAGAUGGCAGCAAUGAUGUGCUGACCAUGGCUUUGGGCCCCGAGCAUCCAGGCAGACUGAGGGGAGUUGGUGCUGGUGUUUCCCCAAGGCAAUAUUUCAAUUUGCCCAAACCACAGAGGGUGAGCUUUGACGACCGUUUGAAGGACAGUUUAAGAGUUCUCCUUCAAGAAGAGACUAAAAAGAUGGAGGCUAAGGCAAGGGAAGAGGCCUUAAGGAUGGAGGCUAGGACAAAACAAUUGGUAGAGGCUGAGAGGGAGCAUUUCCUGAGUCAGCUUUCCCAAUUAAUUCCCAAUUUUGAUCCAAGCAUGCUUAAACCAAGAAUUAGCCAAAGCCCCAAAAAUCCAAUGUCUGACAAAGCUAGCUGCUCUGGAGGUGAUGUGAGAUCCCUACAUUUGGAGGAUGAUACUGCCAAAAUGGGGAAACAUCAGCCAGAUGAAGAGAAGGAAGAAGAAAAAAGAGAUGAAGAGAAGGAAGAAGAAAAGGAGAAAGAAGAUGAAGAAAAGCAUGACGACAAGGUAUGUUCACAUAACUUUGCCUUUUUUAUUUGUUUUUCAAAAUUUCAGACGUCGAUAUUUUUAUUUAAUCCGUCGUUUGUUUAAAACUUAGACGGCGGAAUUUUUUUAAGACGUAAUAAAAUAUUUAAACGACGGUUUUUGCACCGUCGUUUAAAUGGUUUCAGACGACGCUUUAUUCAUAAAACCGUCGUCUUUAUUGAAUUACCACGACAGUUUUUUCACCGUCGUUUAAAUACUUUUAAGACGACGUUUUAUUACUUAAACCGUCGUCUUUAUUGAAUUACCACGUCAUUUUUUUUAUUUCUUUAAACAGGUUAUUGAAGUUGGUGCUUAUUCAAAAAUGGAGGCGCCAUCUUCUUUAAAAACCCUUUGUCGUUUUGUGGAAACGACACUCCUGCCUGAGGAUAAGACACUCCAAUUUACAAUUGAUAAGGAGGUGUUUGGUGGUGAGCGCGAUACCUUCCUCCUGCCUGAAGAUAUUACACAAUUUGCAGGCAUGGAAGAAAUUGGAGCUACUGUAUUGGCUGUAUAUAUGAGGUUUGUACUUCUAAAAUAAUACCUCGUUGGUUUAUAUAUUGCGUCGUCUUAACUAACUAACCACGUCGUCUUAACUAACUACCGUCGUGAUAAAUAUAUUAUAACGUCCUCAUCUAUUUCAGUACGUCGUGUGAAAUAUUAUAAUACGUCGUUUUUUUAUACAUAACCGUCGUGUUUGUUUGUGCUGACUUGUUUAUAUUAUUUUAUGUAUUUAGGUACUUACACGAUGUUUUGAAACAAGCCAAUAUGUGCAGCAUGGUUGGCUUUAUUGACCCUGCUACAGUUAGUGCCAACUCUGGCACAAUAACUGAAAGAUCACGACUGGUAGCAGCUCGACUUCAGAAGACAGACGGUGAACAGCUUUUCAUGAUGCCUUACAAUCCAGGGUUAGUCUCCUUAGGAUUUUGUUUUUAUGAUUUUCAAUAAAUGACAGCUUAUAAACUAACCACGUCGGUGUUUUAUUUUAUUUAGUCGUUUGAAACUACUAACCACGUCGGUAUUUAUUUGUCGUCGUGAUAAAUAUAUAAUGUUGUCGUUAUCUACUUUAUUUCGUCGUGUGAAAUACUAUAAUACGUCGUUUUUGUAAAUAACCGUCGUUUUUAUAUUAAUUUUGUGCAGCCGUCAUUGGAUCCUGCUGAUUGUAAGAGCAAAGAAGGAGACCGUCUAUUUUCUGGAUCCUCUGCCAGGUCAUCGUGUGGUCGACGAAGAGGCGAAAAACAUCGUGAACAGUGCUUUAAAAAUAUAUAAUACCCACAUAGGCCGAGCAGGACGUAAAAAUGUAAUUUGAAAAACUCUCUCAGGCACACCAAAGCAACCCAGCAAUGUCGAAUGCGGGUAUUAUGUGAUGCGCUUCAUGAGGGACAUCAUCAUGGAUCCUUCCUUGGGGUUUGAGAAUAAGGUAAGAAGAAAUUACCUUCAUACAUUUCACGUCGUUUUUUGUAUUAUCAACGACGGUCAUGUAAAAUUAACGUCGUUGAAUGGAUAUACUACGUCGGUUAUGAAAAAUAUCGUCGUCUGUGAUUGAAUUUCUUUUUAUUUAUAAACCCUAAUAGUCAUUGUUUAUGCAGUAUGCCAAGGGAAACCAGGAAGCUUCAUACCCCCAAGAAGCCAUUGAUGAAGUCCGGAAUGAAUGGGCAGAGUUUGUUUUCCAAAUUAUUAAACAGGGCAAUUAUUGAACACUUGAUAUUUAUGUAUAAUGUACCAAUUUUCUCUAUAAUAUGUAAUGUAAAAAUUUGUUGAGGUUUUCUUAAAUUAAAAAAAAAACAAACAUACAAAUUGCUUAACCGACGUGUAAUACUUUUCCAACGACCUAAUAAAGUCACAAACCGUCGUAUUUUGUUGUUUCGUGUUUUAAACAAUUACGACGUAAAAAAAUAGUUAGACGACGUUCUUUGAACAAUUGAGUCGUUAAUGGUUUACAAUAUCUUCAAUUUCUUAAGGGUUCAGGGUAUAAUCGACGACGUUUAUGUAACGACUGCGGUUAAGUCGUAAAAUAUAUAUUUUACGUCGUAUAGUUAAAUAGCCGCCAUGGUUUUUCAUUUUAACGACGUCAUUUUAACGACUUAGUAGUCUAUUACAAUUUACAACGUCUACAAUUUAUUAACACCGACGUGGUUUGUUGUUGUGGUAAGAAUAUUUUAUUAUUUUUAUAUCAAAAUAUUCAAAAUAAAUUUAAAAUAAAUCAGAAAAUUGAAAAGUCAACUCCUAUGAAGUCAUUGAUAUAUUUUCUUCCACAUAAACCUUGAAAAAAUUCAUUUUGAAUAACAAAAAUUUAAAAUGACCAUCCAAAACAAAAUUGUUUUGAUGACUCAUAAAAUCACUUCUAGUUUUAUGGUUUAGGGUUUAGAGUCUAGGGUUUAGAGAUUAGGGUUGUUAUUUAUUGGGGUUUAUUUUUAAAGUAUAAUUUUUGGGUAGUCUAGGGUAUAUGUUAGGCUUUAAAACCAUAAAACCUUUUAUAAACUUAAUUUUUUAAAUUGUAUAAUUUAAUUUUAUGGGUUUAGGGUAUUAAUUUUUAACGACGGUGGUUGGGUCGUGGAAUACAUAUUUUACGUCGUACAGUAAAACAUACGACAUGGUUUACGCUUUAAACGACGUCAUUUUAAUAUGUAAGUCGGUUUAUAUAAUUUACAACGUCAACGUCUUUAAUUUCUUAACACCGACGUGGUUUUUCAGUCGUCGUUAUAUAAAAAAUUCAAAAUAAAUUUAAAAUUAAUCCGAAAAAUGAACGGCCUUACGUUCUUAAUCCGAAAAAUGAAGUUUCCGUCGUGGAAUAUUAAAUUUACGUCGGUACUUGUAGAACUUUCGCCUUGGUUUUUCUUUCGACGUUUUAAAACGCGCGCGCUCUAAAAAUUUUCGCGCGACCUAAACUUUUUUAGAUUUGGCUCUUAUUCUUAUACUUCGAACCCUGAAACCUAAAANNNNNNNNNNNNNNNNNNNNNNNNNNNNNNNNNNNNNNNNNNNNNNNNNNNNNNNNNNNNNNNNNNNNNNNNNNNNNNNNNNNNNNNNNNNNNNNNNNNNNNNNNNNNNNNNNNNNNNNNNNNNNNNNNNNNNNNNNNNNNNNNNNNNNNNNNNNNNNNNNNNNNNNNNNNNNNNNNNNNNNNNNNNNNNNNNNNNNNNNNNNNNNNNNNNNNNNNNNNNNNNNNNNNNNNNNNNNNNNNNNNNNNNNNNNNNNNNNNNNNNNNNNNNNNNNNNNNNNNNNNNNNNNNNNNNNNNNNNNNNNNNNNNNNNNNNNNNNNNNNNNNNNNNNNNNNNNNNNNNNNNNNNNNNNNNNNNNNNNNNNNNNNNNNNNNNNNNNNNNNNNNNNNNNNNNNNNNNNNNNNNNNNNNNNNNNNNNNNNNNNNNNNNNNNNNNNNNNNNNNNNNNNNNNNNNNNNNNNNNNNNNNNNNNNNNNNNNNNNNNNNNNNNNNNNNNNNNNNNNNNNNNNNNNNNNNNNNNNNNNNNNNNNNNNNNNNNNNNNNNNNNNNNNNNNNNNNNNNNNNNNNNNNNNNNNNNNNNNNNNNNNNNNNNNNNNNNNNNNNNNCUGUUUUUGUUUAAAACCCGUCGUCUCAUGUUGUUUAUACCUUGCGAUUAGAUCAUGUAUAAUCUGCUAUAGUGAUGGUCAUGCCUGUAUUUUCACUUUUAUAUAGAUAAUAGGUUAUAGUGUCGGAGAUGGAUAAGUCAUGGAUGCACUCGGAUAGAAGAUCGAAGGCAUAUGAGUUUGGGGUGGAAGCAUUUUUGAACUUUGCUGUAGAAAAUCUUCUAACUACAACACAUAUCCGUUGUCCAUGUGUUAAAUGUGUUAAUUUGAAGUUGUUUGGGGUUGGAAUUAUAAGGGAUCACUUAUACUUUAAUGGAAUUGACCAAAGCUAUAAGAAUUGGACAUUUCACGGAGAACCUUGGGAAGCAACUACUAAUGCUAGCAGAAAUGUUGAAGAAGAUGAUGGCCAUAGUAGGUACAGUUUUGUGUCUGAAGAAAUUGAUAUGGAUGAUAAUGAUUUUGGUGAUUUUGGUUCGGAUCCGUAUGAGUUUGCCAAUGUGAUUGGGGAUGGAGAUCAACCAGUGUACCCUGGUUGUAGAAAGUACACGAAGUUAUCGGCAUUAGUGAAGUUGUAUAAUUUGAAGGCAAAACAUGGGAUGAGUGAUGUCUGUUUUACAGAAUUAUUGAUACUUCAAGGCGAUUUGCUUCCAGAAGGAAAUACAAUACCAACCUCCAUGUAUGAGGCUAAAAAGACUUUGUGUGCAUUGGGGCUGAGUUAUGAGAAAAUGCACGCAUGCCCCAAUGAUUGCAUCUUGUAUAGGAAGGAGUAUGAGGAUUCAACUAAUUGUCCUACUUGUGGUAUCUCAAGGUGGAAGGAAGGCAAAGAUGCAAUCUUGAAAGAGGGUGUGCCAGCGAAGGUGGUGUGGUAUUUUCCCCCAAUUCCAAGGUUUAAAAGGAUGUUUCAAUCACAUGAGACAGCUAAGAGUUUGACUUGGUGGCAUGUUGCUAGAAAAUCAAUUGACGGUCAGAUGUCUCAUCCGGCGGAUUCCCCGUCUUGGAAACUUCUUGAUGAUAAAUGGCCUGAGUUUGGUAAUGAGCCGAGAAACUUGAGAUUGGCUCUUUCAUCUGAUGGAUUCAAUCCCCACAGUUCUCUAAGUAGCAGAUAUAGUUGUUGGCCGGUUAUCUUAGUUACAUAUAAUCUCCCUCCAUGGCUGUGCAUGAAACGAAAGUUCAUGAUGUUAACCUUAUUGAUUUCCGAUCCUAAACAACCCGGAAAUGAUAUAGACGUCUACUUGGAGCCUUUGAUUGAUGAUUUAAAAUCCUUGUGGGUUGGGAUUAGAGGAGUGUAUGAUGCACAUAAUGGAGAAUACUUUACACUCAGAGCUGCAUUAAUGUGGACAAUUAAUGAUUUCCCCGCCUAUGGAAACUUAUCUGGUUGUGUUGUUAAAGGAUAUAAAGCUUGUCCAAUAUGCGGCGAUGAUACACCUAGUCAAACAAAUAUUUUUUGUUGACGACCCGAUGCAUCGUGGUUGGUCGUGUAGGCGUGUGAGUGUGUGUUUGUGUUUGUUUUUGUGUGUGUGUGUGUGUGUGUGUGUGGUGUGUGUGUGUGUGUGUGUACCAUUACUNNNNNNNNNNNNNNNNNNNNNNNNNNNNNNNNNNNNNNNNNNNNNNNNNNNNNNNNNNNNNNNNNNNNNNNNNNNNNNNNNNNNNNNNNNNNNNNNNNNNAUGUAAUUGGCAGUGUAUGACAUUAAUUUUGUAAUAUAUUGUAAUGUGAUUUCUUCACUUUCUACGUUCAAAUAAAACACGACGUUAUUGUGAAUCAGUUAUUCAGCAUAUUUACCGACGUCUUAAAGCAACGUAACAAUGAAGAACCACGACGCUAUUGUGAAGCAAUUAUUCAGGAUAUCACGUCGGUGAAGGAUAAAGAACCGCCAUGUAAUUCAAAAUAACACGACUCCAAUCCCAUAAUACCGACGUCUAAAAAACGAGAUAUGUAAUCUGAACGUUAAAAAAUACGACGUCAUCAUACAUUUUCCACGUCGCAAGUUCUUUUAUAAACGAAGAGGAACGAAAUUAAUUCCGACGGAAAUUCAUUAUAACCGCCGUCUAAUAACAAUUAAACGACGUUAUUUGUAAUACGGCUCCCAUCAUAAUCUACGCCGUCUAUAUGUUCUGUAAUACGGCUCUCAUUUAUUUGGAACCGACGUUGUUUAGACGUUCAACGUCGUCUAUAUUAUUAAGUGCGUCGUGAGUAAUGAAUACAUAUAAAUACAACGUCGACUAUAUAAAUGUAUACGUCGUAAAUAAUGACACUGACAACUAUUUCCACGUCAUCUUUUUUAGAUAAAAUCGAAGUGGAAAAUUUAUUUCACGACGGUUUUUUGUAAAUAAGAGACGUUGUAGAACUUUAGCAGACUAAACACGUCUGUUUUUAUUGUUUUCCGACGUUGUUGUAUUUAACAACGUCUAAUAUUUAUGGUCGUUGUUUGUUUCUGAAAAUAGGACGUAUAAAUUUUUUAAUACGACUCUCAUAUAUUUGUAACUGACGUUGUUUAGUUUUUCAACGUCUACUAUAGAAACACAUACGUCGUAAAUAAUGACACUGACAACUAUUUCCACGUCAUCUUUUAUCAAAAAAUCGAAGUGGAAAAUUAAUUGUACGACGGUUGUGUUUAUAUGUGCGACGUAGUAGGUAUCAAUAACAUCGUCUUCUAAUGUAUUUAAAGACGUCAUAUUUUUUAUUGUCGUGAAAAUUAUAUUUAACGUCGGCGUAUUUUUAUUGUCGUCGUUGUAUGUCUAUCUUGCGGCCUUGUUCUCUUAAUAUGUGUCAUAUUUUCCCUUUUUAACGACGGUCUUUUUAGAGAAUUGGUCGUCUAUUAUCAUCAUCGAUUGCUUUUUUUAGAUCUUUUUGCAGUACAAAGACGUCGUUUUGUAUUUUUUGAUGACGUUGUAUUGUUUAACAACGACGGUUAUUUAGCGUCGUGGUUUAUGAGGGAAAAGAUGACGGUGGAUUCCACGACCAUUGAAAAACCAAAUACACGACGGUGAUUUACCGUCGUCUUUUUGCUUUUUUGUAGUAGUGAUCGGAAACUUGACUAAUUAGAAUACAACAUAUGUCGAAAUAUUUUUAUCAUAAAUGGUCUCUAAGGUUCGUGAAAUUAUUAGCUUUAGUCCUUCAUGUUUUUUUGUGACAUCAUUGGUCCUUUAUGUUACUCCUCUUCACACAUCAAUUUGGUUCUGCCGUUUGGAUUCGUCAAAAUUUAUGUUAAAUUGAUGGCAUGACAUGUAUAUGGUGCCUACAUAUCCAAUGAGAUAAUGACCCGUGGAUCUAAGUAAAAAAUUUGUUUUAAAAAAAUAGUUUCAUAUUUAAAAUUUUUAAAGGGCGAAGACUCAUUGGGUAACUCGAAGUUUGGGUUGUUGAAGCCUUCAAGCAUGGUUUUGCUCACAAAAGAUUGGAACGCAAUGUGUUGGGUUGAGCACUGAAAACCAAAGAAUAUCAAAAAUGUAGUAGGGGGGAGAGAGAGAGAGAGANNNNNNNNNNNNNNNNNNNNNNNNNNNNNNNNNNNNNNNNNNNNNNNNNNNNNNNNNNNNNNNNNNNNNNNNNNNNNNNNNNNNNNNNNNNNNNNNNNNNACCUCAUGUCAGCACUUAAUAGAAAAUUUGACGGACCCUAACGGCAUGGAUCAAAUUGAUGUGUGGUGUGUAACAAAAAGGAUCAAUAAUGUCACAAAAAACAUAAAGGACCAAAGUUGAUAAUUUUGCGAACCUUAUACACCAUUUAUGAUAAAAACCCUAUAUUGUAUAAUUUUAGUGUGUUUUUUUCUUAAAUGCUAUUGAGAAGAGAUUUUAUAAAACUGCUAUAUAAAAGGUUCACCACAAUGCUAUAAAACAAUAGUAGAUUAUGGCUCUCAGAUGUUUUCAUCUUCUUAUUCAUCCAAGCAGAUCGAUAACAUAUGGUCACUACUGACUUUUUCUUGUAGUUCUCAACAUCCAUCUUUCAAGCCAUCAACCAAGUUGUUGCAUUGCUCCUCACUGUUAGAAAAGCCUCGUUUCCCUCCUCCUCCUCCAUUGAUUGAAGGAGAGACAACAAAAGCAACUUAUGAAACAAGCCCCUCAUUUCCUUGUUAAACAUAAAUCGACCCAUUAUUGAUGAGGACUGAGAAUCUAAGAGCACACUAGUAAUUAACCUGAGUGGGGAAUAUGGAUGAUGGAUCUCUCUCUCUCUCUCUCUCUCUUGAAAAAAUCAACUUCAUUAUCCUUGGUGAAUUUGUUCUGAAUUAGUCGUGUCCAGCUACAAGCAAUACUGUACGUAGUAUAUUAUUCUCUGCAUUUGUGCAUGCCAACAACAAACAAAUAUUAUUCUCUAUUAUAGCAUAUAGGCCGUCAUUUUCAAUCCUUAUAAGAGAAAACUUGCUUCGCCAUAAGAGUACGUAGCUUGGCAAGCAAGGUAAGGGUACUUCAAAAGAUUCCUUCCAUCAUCUAUAUAAGACACAUGUGACAUUGCAUGUCUCAUCAAUCAUGUUAAGAUAAAGCUAGCUGGCAAGGCAAAUUACCAACCUUUAUGCUCGAGUAUAUUAUUCCAAGCAGAUAUAAAUGUUAAUAUAUGUGAAGAAUAUUAUGAUCAAUAUAGAAUAUGUAUCAUGAUCAGUUAUGGUAUCGACUGUCAGAAAAUAUCAUCCGCAUAUGUGCAUACCAACAUUAUCGAAAGACAGUAGGAGUAUCGUCAUAUCCGAUACAAGUAUCGGAGCAUGGGUAAGAGUAUAUAUACAAGCAUACCCGUCCAAUUAGGAGAAUCAGUGCAACAUAGAUGAAAAGAAAUUAGAUGUGAUUUCACAUAUUUUUAAAGAAUAGGGGAAAUAAACCAAUUAAUCUCUUUUGUCUUCUCCAUACAUUUUUGGUUGUGAAUUUUGGUUUUCGAAGAAUUUGGCAUUUCAAGCAACUUGGAAAACAUUUUGAUGAUCCAUUGAACCUUGUUAAAGUCGAUAUUCAAUCUCUAUGGACUUUGGCCGAAAUGUCUCAUUUCAAUUGGAAAGUGACAUUGAGAUUUGAAAAGACUAGACAUUAAGGUGGCAAGAGAAGUCUAAAAGGAUCAAACAGAAAAAAAUAAUGAAAAAUUGAAAAUAACCUAGAAAGGGGAGAAAAAAUUAGUUGCAAUAGGGAUAAUAAUGUUUGAGUAAUGCUAAACGAACUCUAAAAUUAACUUAGUACACCCUACUAUCAAACUAUUUAUUGAAUUACUAAUUUACCCUAAUAUAAAAUGACCAAAAAGGAUAUAUUGAAUUGUGCAGCAAAUGUAAUUUUAAUAAGUACACAUUACUCACCAUAUUCAACCCUAAUAUUCGAUGGAGGCGACAUUGAAUGCUAUGAAUCCAACCCAAACCCACCACCACCGUCCCUCUCUCUCUCUCUCUCUCUCUCUCUCUCUCUCUCUCUCUCUCUCUCACAAAUUAUCUUAUUUGCUCUAAAUUUUUUGCAAUGAGUCAGAAUCUUCUAUGUGUAUGUGGCAUUCGUUCAUUAGACUUGGUUAAUGCAUUCAACCCACCCAAAACAAUAAUCAUUUGAUGUUCAUCCUCGAUGUUGGUGGUUUCAAGUGAGCAUGUUCCCAAACGGCUCUUACACUUGCCCACUAGAACUCCAGCUCCUCACCCUCUGAUGAAUCUAAUGACAAUUAUGUUGUUGUUUGCACCAUAAACACCAACUUCCAACAACUCCAAUACAACCUAUUUCUUCUUAAUUAGAUACCUUGGGGGUUGAUAGCAACCUCAAUAGUCUAAGAAACAAACCCACUUCGGAAUUUUCCUUCUUCCACUAGUUGAAGGGAGAUGGGUUCCAACACGAUAUUACGCGCUUAUUAGAAUCUUAUACUCGUCGAGUCUGGGUUGGCUGGUGAUAAGCAGGGGAAGGGUGGAGUUGGGUUGUGUUAGAGAGAGAGAGAGAGAGAGAGAGAGAGAGAGAGAGAGAGAGAAAGAGAAAGAGAGAGAGAAGGGCGGUAGUGGUUGGGUUGGGUUGGAUGCGAAAGGGCUUAAAUCAGAGGAGGAAGGACGGGUUUGGCUGGGUGGGUGACAGGACCCGACCCAAUUUCCGCUUUGGAAUCCGAGCUGAAUCCUGUGCGUGUCCGACACCUGGCGAAUGUCGGGCACGAAUGACCUUUUUACCCUUCUCUUUUCAAAUUCUUUUUUUUUUUAAACUUCCCUUAGACUUCUACCGAAAAUUCGACAGAGUCUCCCCUGUAUUUUGACCAAACCCAAAGUCUUCCACCUGUCAAACAGUCUCAAAUAACACACCAACUACCAGACUAACUCAACCAACAGAUCUCAACUCCAGUUUCUCAUGUUCAACAAGAUAUCAAAGCAUUUCUAUACAAAUUUACAGAACUAUGAGAAAGUUACAACGAGAUCCUACACUUUGGGGGUGGGGCGAAAGCUGGGAAGAUGGCCCGAGUGGUUUCCUUCGUACUUCUAUGGCCUGGGGGCGAAAAACAAGGUUAAAAUUGUGAGUGGACAAAAAUAAAAUUCUUUAAAACAAAAACAAGUUAGAACAUAAUAACCCCCGUUUUGAAAUACUAGGGAUAUAAAUCGUUAAUUUAGCUAUAUUUCAAUAUAAGGAAUUCAAUAAACAUGAAUAAAUAUACUGACGAAUAAACUUGCAUAACUGAUCAAAUAUAUAUAAAGAUAAUAACGCAUGAAUAUCAAGAAACUGGUAUAAAAUCACGGGAAAUCAUAACUGGAUAAAAGAGCUCAAAAUCCUUUGAAACUACCACCUAGAUGUACCCCUGUCAUAUCCGUCAAUUCCCCUGGCAGGUCUCGGGCGUCACGCAGUCUACCCGAGCCGCAAACUGGCGAAAUCAAGGGACUAUGAUCAGCCUGAUCCGCCGGCAGGUCUCGAUGACACCAAGUCGACUCGAGCCGCUCUGGCAGGAUGCAGGGGACCGCAGUCAGCCUGAUCCGCAAUCCUGGCAGGUCUCGGGGACACAGAGUCAGCCGAGCCGCAAAUCCUGGCAGGUCUCGGGACACCAAGUCUGCCGAGCCGCAAAUUCUGGCACUCACGGUCCGAGCGUCCCCGAAACUCGUGAGGCAAAGUCAAGUGCACUGACGUAACUGAAAUCAGACUGGAUGUUCGUAGACAUCGGUCCGACUGUGGGUAAUCACCAUAAAUAGAUGGGUACAUGGUGGUUUAACAAGAAAUUCUGAUAACUCUCUGAAAUCUGAUAAGUCUGAACUAAAUUACUAUCUUUGUAUCAAAAGUCUCAAGUUUACUGCUCAACCAAUAUUAUAAAAAUAAAGAUAUUUCACAAUGCAAAUCAUGCUUCGAAAUUACGUAAUAACACUUAUUCAAGAUCAAAUAGAAAAUAUAAUUAUAAAAUCUUUUAGGAAAGAAAAGUCCACUCACUGUUGGUCCGAGCUAUCUGGACCCUUCGAAGAUCCCUCAUGUGGGUCAACUGGACCUCUGGUGCCUUACUCGAUUGAUUUGGUGGAGAAUUGAAGGAGAACGAAGGAGAUGAAGUUUGGAUGAAAAACAGGCGGAAAUCGCCAGUUUCCGGCCAAUUCCCGGCGGUCCAAGGCCGGCGACGGGUCGAGGAAGGGAGGCGGCGGCGAGGCGGACCGAUUGACACCAACGGCGGAGGUCGCCGUGCCCUGUAGCGACGGCACGCUCGAUCUGAAACAGGGAGGGGGGCGGCGGUUGCGACGGGAGAGAGAGAGAGAGAGGAGAGAGAAAUGAGGAGAGAGAAGAGAGAAGGAAGAGAUAAAAUCUGACUUUUUUUUCAAAUUACCGUUUUGCCCUUCGAGGUAAUUUAAUCGUAUCUUCUUCAUUACAAUUCCAAUUCGGGUCUACUCCGUGUCUACGGACUCGUUUCGCCGUGCUCUACGCAACGGCGCAAGCGAAAUUCUCAAAUUCUUUCUUGAUCAAAAAGUCAAAUUUUCCCCUAUUAAAAUAUGCGAGGGCAAAAUCGUCUUUUGGGUAGAAUAAAGAAAUCCUAAUUUUUAGAUAUUUUAGUUUGGGUUAUUACAGUGGGGGGUGGAGAGAUGAUGGGAGGUCGAUUUAACAGGGUUAAGUGUUGUUAAGUGGUUUACCACAUGUCAAAAAAAUAGAAGGAAAACAUGUCGGGCACAUGGCAUUUGGUAACAGUAAAAUUGGACUCAUGAAUGAGUUAGGUGUUGUGUGAUAGAGUGUAUUAGGGUGUACCAUGGGUAUUUUUAGUAGUUAAAUAGGAUGUACUGAGUUAAUUUUAUAAUUUGAUUUAAAUAUUAGGGUAUACUUAGAUCAUAGGGUGUACUCAGUUAAUUUUAAGGUUUGUUUAGCAACAUUCUAAUGUUUUGUUAUCCCCGGUCAAUAAUUUUAUAUCGUGUGGCUUAGAAGGAGGCCUGUUAUCCAACUCAUCUGGUCCACCGUCCAUGAUAUGAACCCGACUUGAGAAUCUUUUGGUGAAGUAGAACAACCCAACUUGAGAGUUGAGGCAGCCAAACUAGAAGGGAAGCAUCCCCACUCCAGUCCCGCUCCCCAUGUGCCCAAUACUUUGCUUGUUUACUUCACCUUUUAAACCUUUUAGGAUUUUCCAUAGGCUAAGAGGAAAACAACAACAUUACGGCCCAGUUUACGAAUGGAUUCGAGGGGAAAUUACUUCCCAUGCCAUUUUUUAAGGGAUGGAAAAUGGAGAUUCAUUUCCCAUAUUUGAUAAUCCUAGGAAAGUAACUAAGAAAUACUACUUUAUUUCCUUUCACAUAUUUGGUUUGUGUAGGAAUGUAAAACAAAGUUAGUUUAAUUUUUCAAUUAUAUCCAUAUGAAAUUAAAUUUUAAAAAAAAUGUAUUUAAUGCUAUAUUGUUAAUGGGGACAAUAUGGUCAUGAAAAAUGUGUAUUUAAUGUUGGCUAAUUUUCUCAAACUUUCUCAUGUGCAAGACAACGAUUUCUCAUGCCUAGACUUACCAAAUAUGGGAAAGCAAUUGAUUUCUCAUCACCAAGCCUCCUUUCCCAUGAACCAAACAGGACCUACAAGUUAUUAGCUUCAAGCCUUCAAGGAUUUUCAUAACAAAUCUUCCAAUCUCACACAAAAAUAAAAAAGCAUCCAUGUAUGUAAUUUCUAGAUUAAAAUCUCACUUUUUAGGCAUUCCAUUUUCUUAGGAUUAGGUAUUACUACGCACGGACAAUCUUACGAUUAUCUGCAAUUCAUCCUUCAAUAGCUAUGGACGUUAUAUCAAAUCAACAAUAAGACGUACAUUUCUUCAAAGAACUAAAUCAUGCGGAUGUCAACUUGCUCUCACUUAUAUGUUUGUCUCUCCAUAUGAGGAAGGGUGUUUAGCUUAAGGUUUUAGGGCGCGGUUGUCUAAGAACAAUAAGGUGAACAUGUUUUGUCAAAGUACAUGGGAGACCUUUAUCUUCAAACACAAAAAAUGGCCAAAAUUAAAUUAGCAAGGAUCGACAUAUGGAUGUGAGCUUUUACACAUUGCCACUAAUUCUCUCCAUACUUUUGUUGAAAUCAUUUACAAAAUAAGAAAACUUUAGUAAUUGAAGCGAAAGAGAAGAAUUACCAGAACAGAAAAUAAGAAAAAAGAAGCACCUAACCCAAACUUUAAGUCACGAAUUUAACAGUUUACUUUUUAAAAAAAGUAAGUUACAAAACAAUCCCCUUAUUGAUGAGGAUUGAGAAUUUAAGAGCACUAAUAACUUGAGUGAGGAAUAUUGCACAUGGACGAUGGAUCUCUCUCUCUCUCUUUGAAAAAAAAGAAAAAAGAAACAAAAAUCAACUUCAUUAUCCUUAGUGAAUUUGUUCUGGAUUAGUUGUGUUGCAAUGGAACAUCGAACCUACCUAGCUAAAAGGAAAAAAGAAAGGCCACUACGACAGUACUGCAGUAUAUUAUUCCAAGAAGACAAAUGUAAACUAUAUACGUGAAGAAUAUCUAUUAUUGGUCGUCAUUUUCAAUCCUCAUAAAAGAAAACUUACUUCGCCAUAAUUUCAGGUUGUUCUCAAGGCAGGAAGGUAAGGACACUUGAAAAGAUUCCUUCUCAUCAUCUAUACAAGGAAAUGUGUUCUCAUCAAGCUAGGGGACAAGGCAAAUUAGCAACCUUUAUACUCGAUAUAUUAUUCCAAGCAGAUAUACAUGUGAAGAAUAUUAUGAUCUUGAUCAAUAUGGAAUCAGUGGGUGUAUCGAUCGACCAUCCAAAGAAAAAGGAUAUCCUCUGCAUAUAUGUGUGCAUGCCAACAACUAUAAAAGGAGACCAUGAGGCAAUGAGUUGAUCAUCAAAGCAAACACACAGAUAUCCCAACUAAAAAUCAUUCAGUGAGACAAUGGCUGGAACCAAUGAUAUUAAAAUUAAAGGGUUCGAUUUGAGCAAAAACAGCGGCAACACGUCCGGAUUAACCCACUUCGCCAACAGAGCUGACGAGGGCGACAAGGGCGACAAUAAAAUCGAGGUUGAGGAUGCUAAAGCGCAAGAUAACAAGGGAAACUUGAAAGUACUGACCGACUUCGCCCAACGUGGUAAGGUGGGCCAGUCGGAUCGCCAAGAAAUCACGGGGAGCAAGCCACUUCAGACGGCAGCAUGAAAUUGAUGAAGGCCAUACCAUAAUAAAAUAUCUACACUAAAAUAAGAGCUGAUGCAGUAUCUGAGGCUCCUUCCUUGGUUAGGCCUCAUUAUCAUGUGCAAUACUAAUAUUAUUAUUCUAAUAAAAUAAUGGUAGCUUAUUAUUAAAUAUAUCAAAAUUCUAUACGUAUAACUUUUAGAUUAUUGAUACUGAUGACAUACCAACAAGAGAAAACGAUUCAAAAGUCCUUUCUCCAAUUCGUGAUGUUACAAAAUGAGACGUCAAAUUUAAAAAUAUAGUUGCAUACGAGUAUAAACUGAACCAAUAAGCAAUGUAUGAGUGACCAAAGGUCUCAAACGAUGCAUUUAAGAAGAAGGGUACUAAAUUAAAAGAUGUACGCCAGUGAACUAUGGCAAUCUCUCGUUGCAUGCACGCAUAUGCAAUUGAAGAAGACCUAACUUAUAUCACGAAGAAGUGGAUGGGUCUUUACAUAUGAAGUUUUUAAAAUUAACACUACCGGAAGACAAUAGGAGUAUCGGCGUAUCUGAUACAAGUAUCGGAGUCUCGGAGUAUUAGAUUUGAGCAUACCUGUCCAAAUAGGAGUAUCGGUGCAACAUAGAUGAAAAGGAAUUGGAUGUGAUUUCACAUAUUUUUAAAGAACAGGGGAAAUAAACCAAUUAAUCUCUUUCGUCUUGUCCACACAUUUCUUGUUGCAAAUUUUGGUUUUCAAAAAAUUUGGCAUUUCAAGCAACUUGGAAAACAUUUUGAUGAUCCAUUAUUGAACCUCUAAAGUCGAUAUUCAAUCCCUAUCGACCUUGCUCAAAAAAUGUCUCAUUUCAAUUAGUGCAGAGAAAAAUAAAGGCAGAGUUGAAAAUAGAUUUUUCAGUUUGGAAAGUGACAUUGAGAUGUAAAAAGACUAGACAUUAAGGUGGCAAGAGAGAUCUAACAGGAUCAGACAAAAAAGGAAAAAAAAAUGAAUGAAAAAUAGAAAAUGCCCUAGAAAGGGGAGAACAACUUAGUUGCAAUGGGGAUAACAAUAUCUUGCUAUUACUGGUCAAUAAUUUUAUACCACGUGGCCUAGAAGGAGGCCUGUUAGUCCAACUCAUCUGGUCCACUUCCCAUUAUAUGAACCCGACUUGAGAGUUUUGGUUUUUUGGUUGAAGUAGAACAACCCGACUUGAGAAUUGAGGCAGCCAAACUAGAAGGGAAGCAGCCCACUCCACUCCCGCUCCCCAUGUGCCCAGUACUUCGCUUGUUUACUUCACCUUUUAAACCUUUUAGGAUUUUUUUUAUAGGAUAAGAGGAAAACGACGACAUUACAAGUUAUUACGCAUCAACGUAUGUAAUUUCUAGAUUAAAAUCUCACUUUUUACGCAUGUCAUUAUCUUAGGAUUAUGUAUUACUACGCACUGACAAUCUUACGAUUAUCUGCAAUUCAUCCUUCAAUGACCAAAGACGUUAUAUCAAAUCAACAAUAAGACAUACAUUUCUCCAAAUAACUAAAUUAUGUGGAUUUCAACUUGCUCUCAUUUAUAUGUUUGUCUCUCUCCUCCUAUUGAUUAGCCUCUCCAUAAGAGCAAAUAUGAAAAAAGAAGCUCCCAAUCCGAACUUUAAGUCACAAGUUUAACAGUUUACUUUUAAACAAAAGCAAGUUACGAAACAAUCCCCUGAUUUCCUUGUUAAACAUCAACCGACCCAUUAUUGAUGAGGAUUGAGAAUCUAAGAGCAUAUGGACGAUGGAUCUCUCUCUCUUUUUGAAAACAAAAACAAAAACAAAAAACAAAAAUCAACUUCAUUAUCCUUGGUGAAUUUGUUCUGGAUUAGUUGUUUUGAAUUAGUACAGCUUACGUACGCAAUGGAACAUCGAACUUAGCUAGCUAAAAGGAAAAAAGAAAGGCCACUACUACAGUACCGCAGUAUAUUAUUCCAAGAAGACAAAUGUAAACUAUAUACGUGAAGAAUCUCUAGUAUUGGUCGUCAUUUUCAAUCCUUAUAAAAGAAAGCUUGCUUCGCCAUAAUUUCAGGUUGUUCUCAAGGCAGGCAGAGAGAGUACGUAGCUUGGCAAGAAAGGUAAGGGCACUUCAAAAGAUUGUUUCUCAUCAUCUAUAUGAGGAAAUGUGUUGCCAUCAAGCUAGCGGACAAGGCAAAUUAGCAACCUUUAUACUCGAUAUAUUAUUCCAAGCAGAUAUACAUGUAAAUAUAUGUGAAGAAUAUUAUGAUCAUGAUCAAUAUAGAAUCUGUAUCAUGAUCAGAGGGUAUCGAUCCAGCAUCCAAAGAAAAAGGAUAUACUCUGCAUAUGUGCAUGCCAACAACUAUAAAAGGAGACCAUGAGGCAAUGAGUCGAUCAUCAACGGAAACACACAGAUAUCCCAACUAAAAAUCCAUCGUGAGACAAUGGCUGGAACCAAUGAUAUUAAAAUUAAGGGGUUUGAUUUGAGCAACAACAAAGGCAACACGUCGGGAUUAACCCACUUCGCCAACAGAGCUGACGGGGGCGACAAUGGCAACAAUAAAAUCGAGGUUGAGGAUGCUAAAGGGCAAGGGAACACGGGAAACUUGAAAGUACUGACCGACUUCGCCCAACGCGGUAAAGUGGGCCAGUCGGAUCGCCAAGAACUACUCAAACCUCAGGCAUGAAAUUGAAGAAGGCCAGACCACAACAACUUGUCUGCUUGAUAGAUAUAUGUGCUAAAUUAUCUACACAAAAAUAAGAGCUGAUGUUUUAUCUGAGGCUCCUUCCUUGGUUAGGCCUCGUUAUCAUGUGUAAUAUUAAUAUUAUUAUUCUAAUAAAAUAAUGGUAGCUUAUUAUUAAAUAUAUCAAAAUUCUAUACGUAUAACUUUUAGAUUAUUGAUACUGAUGUCAACAAGAGAAAAUGAUUAAAAAGUCCUUUCUCCAAUUCGUGAUGUUACAAAAUGAGACUUCAAAUUUUAAAACUAUAGUUGCAUACGAGUACAAAACUGAACCAAACAAUGUAUGGGCCAGAGUGACCAAGGAUGUACGCCAGUGAACUAAUGGCAAUCUCUCGUUGCAUGCACGCAUAUGCAAUUGAAGGAGGCAUUAUCUGAGGCUCCUUCCUUGGCUAGGCCUCAUUUUCAAUUUUGAUUUCAACUUUGAUUUUGCUUAAACUUUGAUUUUGAGCUAGACUGUGAUUUCGACUUUGAUCUCCCAAUUCGUGCCUUAAGAAUCAGUUUCUCCCAACUCUAUUUACCAAAACCGAAAACUCUGAACUUUUCAAUUCGUCUGGCUACUCUCAGGGUUUCAUGCCUUAGUUUCCUCUCGCCAAAAAGCCAAAAAGACUUGGCUUUCAUGUAAUGCUAUACUCCUCGAUUGAACAAGCCGCGUCUUCAAAUUCAGCUUUCUCACUUCCUUUCUCUUUACUUUCUUUCUUUUGUUUUCCGGCUGGGAAAAUCAUGGAAGCAUUACAAAUUUAAGAGAAUAUUCUAGUAUUAGGGUCCAAACUGUACUAUUUAGGUAUUUUCAUUCUGAUUAAGAGUUCUUUUCUAGAAAUUUGGGGAAGAAAAAAUAGAGUUUCUGUUUUAGUGUUUGAUUUUCAUUACAGUGAAUUAUGUGAAACCGAAAUGUUUCUUGUCUGAUUUCAUCACUGCUUUCAAAUUGCAAAUUAAGGAUUUGAAGGUUAACAAUGCCCGUCUUUAACAAUGUCGCAUUUCAAUUAGUACAAAAGAAAAAUAAAGGCAUAGUUGAAAAUAGAUUUUUCAGUUUCGAAAGUGACAUUGAGAUUUAAAAAGACUAGACAUUAAGAUGGCAAGAGAGAUCUAAAAGGAUCAAACAAAAAAAGUGAAUGAAAAAUUGAAAAUGCCCUAGAAAGGGAGGAAAUCUUAGUUGCAAUGGGGAUAACAAUGUUUUGCUAUCCUCGAACAAUAAUUUUACACCACGUGACCUAGAAGGAGGCAUGUUAAUCUAACUCAUCUGGUCCACCGUCCAUGAUAUGAACCCGACUUGUGAGUUUUUUUUUUUUUUUGUUGAAGUAGAACAACCAAACUUGAGAGUUGAUGUCACAUCUCAGGAUCGGCUUCACCGUAGCACGAUAUUGUCUGCUUUGGGCCCCCUCGCUGUCCUCGCGGUUUUGUUUCUAGGAGCUCACGAGCAACUUCUCAGUUGGUCACUCAUCUUAGGAUUGCUCUGGCCCAAACUCACUUAACUUCGGAGUUCUCAUGACUCCGAAGCUAGUGAGCUCCUAAAAGGCCUCGUACUAAAUGGAAGUGGGCAUAUAUAUAUAAGGCACAACACCCCAUCUUCGUUGGUUGAUGUGGAAUGUUACAAUCCACCCCCCUUAGAGGUCUGACUUCCUCGUCGGCACACUCUCACCACACGGCAGAGUGGCUCUGAUACCAAACUGUCACAUCCCGGGAACGGCUCCGUCGUAGCACGAUAUUGUCCGCAUUGGGCCAACCUUUCUGCCCUCACGGUUUUGUUACUGGGAGCUCACGAGCAACUUCCCAGUGAAUCACUCAUCCUGGGAUUGCUCUAGCCCAAACUCGCUUCACUUCGGAGUUCCUAUGACUCCGAAGCCAAUUAGCUCCCAAAAGACCUCGUGCUAGAUAAAGGUGGGCACGUACAUAUAAGGCACAUCACCUUCUCUUCGUUGAUCGAUGUGGGAUGUUACAGUUGAGGGCUCCGUUGGUCGAUGUAGGAUGUUACAGUUGAGGCAGCCAAACUAGAAGGGAAGCAACCCAACUCCACUCCCUCUCCCCAUGUGCCCAGUUCUCUGCUCGUUUACUUCACCUUUUAAACAUUUUAGGAUUUUCCAUAAGCAAAGAGGAGAACGACCACAUUACGGUCUCGUUUGGUUCACGAACAGAUUUAAGGGGAAAUAACUUCUCAUGUCAUUUCUCAAGGGAUGAGAAAUGGAGAUUCAUUUCCCAUAUUUGGUAAUCCUAGGAAAAUAACAAAGAAAUACCACUUUAUUUCCUUUCACAUGUUUGGUUUGUCUAGGAAUGUAAAACAAAGUUUGUUUAAUUUUCCAAUUAUACCGAUAUGAAAUCAAAUAAAAAAAGAAUAUUUAAUGUUAUAUUGUAAUUCUAAACUGUUAAUAGGGACAAUAUGAUCAUGAAAAAUGUGUAUUUAAUGUUGGCUCAUUUGCUUAUUUUCCCAAACUUUCACAUGAGGAGGAAAACAAAACCCAAGGGGGGAGGAUGGCUUCACUUUCCCCUCUACUUUCCCAUGUACAAGGCAACGAUUUCUCAAGUCUGGACUUACCAUACAUGGGAAAGAAAUUAAUUUCUCAUCCCCAAGUCAUUUUUCCCAUAAACCAAACGGAGCCUACAGGUUAUAAGCUUCAACCUUUAAGGAUUUUCAUAACAAAUCUUGCAAUCUCAUACCAAGGAAAUAAAAAUAAAAAAAAGGAUCCAUGCGUGUAAUUUCUAGAUUAAAAUCUCACUUUUUACGCAUGCCAUUAUCUAAGGAUUAGGUAUGACUACACACGAACAAUCUUACAAUUAUCUGCAAUUCGUCCUUCAAUGGCCAAAGACGUUAUAUCAAAUGAACAAUAAGACGUACAUUUCUUCAAAGAACUAAAUUAUGUGGAUUUCAACUUGCUCUCACUUAUAUGUUUCUCUCUCUCCUCCUAUUGUUUAGCUUAAGGUUUUAGGGCGUGGUUGUCUAAGAACAAUAAGGUAAACAUGCUUACAAAAAAAGAUGGACAGCAAGGAUGGACAUAUGCGAAUGUGAGCUUUUACACAUUGCCACUAAUUUUCUCCAUGAUUUUGUUGAAAUCAUUAACAAAAUAAGAAACUUUAGUAAUUGAAGCGAAAGAGACUAAUUAUCAGAAGAGAAAAUAUGAAAAAAGAAGCUCCCAAUCCAAACUUUAAGUCACAAGUUUAACAGUUUACUUUAAAACAAAAGCAAGUUACGAAACAAUCCCCUGAUUUCCUUGUUAAACAUCAACCGACCCAUUAUUGAUGAGGAUUGAGAAUCUAAGAGCAUAUGGACGAUGGAUCUCUCUCUCUUUUUGAAAACAAAAACAAAAACAAAAAUCAACUUCAUUAUCCUUAGUGAAUUUGUUCGGGAUUAGUUGUGUUGAAUUAGUACAGCUUACUUACGCAAUCGAAUAUCAAACCUAGCUAGCUAAAAAGAGAAAAAGAAAGGCCACAACGACAGUACUGUAGUAUACGUGAAGAAUCUUAUGAUCUAUAAUAUUCUGUAUUAUUGGCCAUCAUUUUCAAUCCUUAUUAAAGAAAACUUGCUUCGCCAUAAUUUCAAGUUGUUCUGAAGGCAGGCAUAGAGAGCACGUAGCUUGGCAAGGGAGGUAAGGGCACUUCGAAAGAUUCCUUCUCAUCAUCUAUACAAGGAAAUGUGUUCUCAUCAAGCUACGGGACAAGGCAAAUUAGCAACCUUUAUACUCAGAUAUAUUAUUCCAAGCAGAUAAACAUGUAAAUAUAUGUGAAGAAUAUUAUGAUAAUGAUCAAUAUAGAAUCUGUAACAUUAUCAGAGGGGUAUCGAUCGACCAUCCAAAGAAAAGGAUAUCCUCUGCAUAUGUGCAUGCCAACAACUAUAAAAGGAGACCAUGAGGCAAUGAAUCAUCAAAGCAAAGACACAGAUAUCCCAACUAAAAAUCAAUCAGUGAGACAAUGGCUGGAACUGGAACCAAUGAUAUUAAAAUUAAAGGGUUCGAUUUGAGCAACAACAGCGGCAACACGUCGGGAUUAACCCACUUCGCCAACAGAGCUGAUGGGGGCGACAAGGGCGACAAUAAAAUCGAGGUUGAGGGUGCUAAAGCGCAAGAUAACAAGGGAAACUUGAAAGUACUUACCGAUUUCGCCCAACGCGGUGAAGUGGGCAGGUCGGAUCGCCAAGAACUUCUCAAGCCUCAGGCAUGAAAUUGAAGAAGGCCAUACCAUAUAUGUGCUGAAUUAUCUACACAAAAAUAAGAGCUGAUGUUUUAUCUGAGGCUCCUUCCUUGGUUAGGCCUCGUUAUCAUGUGUAAUAUUAAUAUUAUUAUUCUAAUAAAAUAAUGGCAGCUUAUUAUUAAAUAUAUCAAAAUUCUAUACGUAUAACUUUUAGAUUCUUGAGUGGGAAACCCUAGCUGCAUUCUGGUCCCUUUUCUUCUUGCCGACAACCAACCACAAGGAAACUAAAGGGGGAGGUGGCCACUGCCCCUCCCCCCCUUCGCCCAUCUUCCCUUUCUCUCCUCAUCUUCCCUUCUUUUUCUCCCAUCUUUUCCCUUCCUCUUAUGCCCUCUUCUCUUCCCAUUCCCUUUCCCAUAUAGUCUAGAUCUAUUUGGAUCUAGGUUUUGUUUGUUUGUUUGUUUGGUUUGGUUUGGUUGUUUUUGCAGUAUUCUAGGUGACUGGUAGUGACGUUGGAUUGUGUCUAUUAUCGGGAGAGUUGUGAUACCUAGUGGCUGAUGUUUUGUCUCUGUUUCAACGACGGCGGCAGUAGCGACACUAGUGAUAGUUAUUGGAUGUGGUGCUCUUCUUUAUUCUGCACUUACCGAAGAACUAUGCUUGGUCAUAGGAGGUUUUCUUUGUCAGAUUCUGAGUUGAAGUGGAGUGCUUCUUAGGGGUCCUUUUAUUGUUGCUUCUAUGUUCCUCCUCUGUGUUCUCUCCUGUUUUCUGUUAUGGUAUGCCUUGUAGUUUGUAUGGGUGUCAAAAUACUAUGAUUUUGCUCAUAGAAGGCUUCUUUUGACAGUUGGGAUAUUCUACGAUCCUCUUCUGUGGGUUUACUAUUUGGGGUUUCUGUCGUUCUCUCAUGUGGGUGUACUAUGUUGGUAUCUAGUUGAGGUUUUCGUCGGAGUUCUUUUUGUUAGUUUUCGUUUUUGAUUUGUUCUUUUAUUGUAAUGGUCCAAAGCGACCAGAAUUAAACUCUCUUGUUAGUCCAUGACAUGUGUGGUACUCUUUUCUCCCCGGGGUUUGUCCCUUGAGAUUGCCCUAGGAAGGUUUUAACGAGGCCACUAUAUCAUGUUGCUCAUUGUACGUCUUUGGUUCUAUUAAUUAAUUCUCUUUCUUAAAAAUAACAAAAAUAAAUAAAUAAAUAAAUAAAAAUUUAGAUUAUUGAUAACGAUGUCAACAAGAGAAAAUGAUUAAAAAGUCCUUUCUCCAAUUCGUGAUGUUACAAAAUGAGACUUCAAAUUGUAAAACUAUAGUUGGAUACGAGUAUAAAACUGAACCAGGCAAUGUAUGGGCCAGAGUGACCAAGGUUGUACGACAGUGAACUAAUGGCAAUUUCUCGUUGCAUGCACGCAUAUGCAAUUGAAGAAUGCCAUAAUAAUAUGUGUUUUUACUAAAUUAUCUACACUAAAAUAAAAACUGAGGCAUUAUCUGAGGCUCUUUCCUUGGCUAGGCCUCAUUUUCAAUUUUGAUUUCAACUUUGAUUUCGCUUAAACUUUGAUUUUGAGCUAGACUGUAAUUUCGACUUUGAUUCUGAUUCUCUCCCAAUUCAUGCCUUAAGAAUCAGUUUCUCCCAACUCUAUUUACCAAAACCAAAAACUCUAAACUUUUCAAUUCGUCUGGGUACUCUCAGAGUUUCAUGCCCUAGUUUCCUCUCGCCAAAAAGCCAAAAAGACUUGGCUUUCAUGUAAUGCUAUACUCCUCGAUUGAACAAGCUGCGUCUUCAAAUUCAACUUUCUCACUUCCCUUCUCUUUACUUUCUUUUCUUUUGUUUUCCAGCCCGGAAAAUCAUGGAAGCAUUACAAAUUUAAGAGAAUAUUCUAGUAUUAGGGUCCAAACUGUACUAUUUAGGUAUUUUCAUUCUGAUUAAGAGUUCUUUUCUAGAAAUUUGGUGAAGAAAAAAUAGAGUUUCUGUUUUAGUGUUUGAUUUUCAUUAUAGUGAGUUAUGUGAAAUCGAAAUGUUUCUUGUGUGAUUUCAUCACUGCUUUCAAAUUGCAAAUUAAGGAUUUGAAGGUUACAAAUUAUUAUGUAGAUAAUUUUUGGGAAUUUAAGAGGCAGUACAGUGUUUGUAUAAGUCUUGAGAUAGACCAAUUUACCACAUGCUCGAUUUCUAUAUAUAAAUUUUUUUAAAUCAUUCUUUUGUUUUAUUUAUUCUGUUAAUUUGUCAUAAUGUGUAAUAUGAUAGCUUCUAAUUCUUUCUUCCUAUUUCUUCUUUUUUGUUAUUCUCUCCCAAAUGAAAUGAAGACCUAACUUAUAUCAAGAAGAAGAGGAUGGAUCCUUACAUAUGAAGAUUUUAAAAUUAACAUUAUUGGAAGACAGUAGGAGUAUCGGCAAUUUGAUACAAGUAUCGGAGUAUCAAAUACGAGCAUGCCCGUCUUUAACAAUGUCUCAUUUCAAUUAGUACAAAAGAAAAAUAAAGGCAGAGUUCAAAAUAGAUUGUUCAGUUUCGAAAGUGACAUUGAGAUUUAAAAAGACUAGACAUUAAGAUGGCAAGAGAGAUCUAAAAGGAUCAAACAAAAAAAAUGAAUGAAAAAUUGAAAAUGCCCUAGAAAGGGAGGAAAUCUUAGUUGCAAUGGGGAUAACAGUAUUUUGCUAUCCUCGAUCAAUAAUUUUAUACCACGUGACCUAAGGAGGCAUGUCAAUCUAGCUCAUCUGGUCCACCGUCCAUGAUAUGAACUCGACUUGAGAGUUUUUUUUUUUUUUUUUUUUUUUUUUUGGGGUUGAAGUAGAACAACUAGACUUGAGAGUUGAUGUCACAUCUCAAGGUCGGUUCCACCGUAGCACGAUAUUGUCUGCUUUGGGCCCCCUCUUUGUCCUCGCGGUUUUGUUUUUAGGAGCUCACGAGCAACUUCCCAGUUGGUCACCCAUCUUGGGAUUGCUCUAGCCCAAACUCACUUAACUUCGGAGUUCUCAUGACUUCGAAAUCAGUGAGCUCCCAAAAGGCCUCGUGCUAAAAGGAGGUGGGCAUAUACAUAUAAGGCGCAACACCCCCUCUCCGUUAGUCGAUGUGGAAUGUUACAAUCCACCCCCUUUAGAGGUCCGACGUCCUCGUCGGCACAGUCUCACCACACGGCAGAGUGGCUCUAUGCCAAAUUGUCGCAUUCCGGGAUCGGCUCCGUCGUAACACGAUAUUGUCCGCGUUGGGUCAACCUCUCUGCCCUCACGAUUUUGUUUCUGGGAGCUUACGAGCAACUUCCCAGUAGAUCACUCAUCCAAACUCGCUUAACUUCGGAGUUCCCAUGACUCCGAAGCCAGUGAGCUCCCAAAAGACCUCGUGCUAAAUGGAGGUAGGCAUGUACAUAUAAGGCACAUCACCUCCGCUCCGUUGGUCGAUGUGGGAUGUUACAGUUGAGGGCUCCGUUGGUCGAUGUACGAUGUUACAGUUGAGGGCUCCGUUGGUCGAUGUAGGAUGUUAUAGUUGAGGCAGCCAAAAUAGAAGGGAAGCAACCCUACUCCACUCCCUCUCCCCAUGUGCCCAGUUCUCUACUCGUUUACUUCACCUUUUAAACCCCUUCGUACUUGAAGACCUGGCUGGCAAUUUGAUUGAAGCGAAAGAGACUAAUUAUCCAUGCUUUUGUUGAAAUCAUUAACAAAAUAAGAAACUUUAGUAAUUGAAGCGAAAGAGACUAAUUAUCAAAACAGAAAAUAUGAAAAAAGAAGCUCCCAAUCCGAACUUUAAGUCACAAGUUUAACAGUUUACUUUAAAACAAAAGCAAGUUACGAAACAAUCCCCUUAUUUACUUGUUAAACAUCAACCGACCCAUUAUUGAUGAGGAUUGAGAAUCUAAGAGCACAUGGACGAUGGAUCUCUCUCCCUUUUUGAAAACAAAAACAAAAACCAACUUCAUUAUCCUUAGUGAAUUUGUUCUGGAUUAGUUGUGUUGCAAUGGAACAUCGAACCUACCUAGCUAAAAGGAAAAAAGAAAGGCCACUACGACAGUACUGCAGUAUAUUAUUCCAAGAAGACAAAUGUAGACUAUAUACGUGAAGAAUAUCUAGUAUUGGUCGUCAUUUUCAAUCCUCAUAAAAGAAAACUUACUUCGCCAUAAUUUCAGGUUGUUCUCAAGGCAGGAAGGUAAGGACACUUGAAAAGAUUCCUUCUCAUCAUCUAUAUAAGGAAAUGUGUUCUCAUCAAGCUAGGGGACAAGGCAAAUUAGCAACCUUUAUACUCGAUAUAUUAUUCCAAGCAGAUAUACAUGUGAAGAAUAUUAUGAUCUUGAUCAAUAUGGAAUCUGUAUCAUGAUCAGUGGAUGUAUCGAUCGACCAUCCAAAGAAAAAGGAUAUCCUCUGCAUAUAUGUGUGCAUGCCAACAACUAUAAAAGGAGACCAUGAGGCAAUGAGUUGAUCAUCAAAGCAAACACACAGAAAUCCCAACUAAAAAUCAAUCAGUGAGACAAUGGCUGGAACUGGAACCAAUGAUAUUAAAAUUAAAGGGUUCGAUGUGAGCAACAACAGCGGCAACACGUCGGGAUUAACCCACUUCGCCAACAGAGCUGCCGAGGGCGACAAGGGCGACAAUAAAAUCGAGGUUGAGGAUGCUAAAGGGCAAGGGAACACGGGAAACUUGAAAGUACUGACCGACUUCGCCCAACGCGGUAAAGUGGGCCAGUCGGAUCGCCAAGAACUUGUCAAACCUCAGGCAUGAAAUUGAAGAAGGCCAUACCAUAACCACUUGUCUGCUUGAUAGAUAUAUGUGCUAAAUUAUCUACACAAAAAUAAGAGCUGAUGUUUUAUCUGAGGCUCCUUCCUUGGUUAGGCCUCGUUAUCAUGUGUAAUAUUAAUAUUAUUAUUCUAAUAAAAUAAUGGUAGCUUAUUAUUAAAUAUACCCAAAUACUAUACGUAUAACUUUUAGAUUAUUGAUACUGGUGUCAACAAGAGAAAAUGAUUAAAAAGUCCUUUCUCGCAUUCGUGAUGUUAGAA
RNAcentral lists this long non-coding RNA (31363 nucleotides) under Prunus persica (peach). RNAcentral describes it as "long non-coding RNA (PPER_LNC001538)". Lineage: Eukaryota; Viridiplantae; Streptophyta; Magnoliopsida; Rosales; Rosaceae. The record is from RNAcentral.